This is a long non-coding RNA of Oreochromis aureus, 982 nucleotides long. RefSeq lists it as uncharacterized. Lineage: Eukaryota; Metazoa; Chordata; Actinopteri; Cichliformes; Cichlidae. The record is from RefSeq and is a predicted model, not a curated record. The transcript has 3 exons.
GUCCAGCCCCCACUGACCCUCUGCACCGAGAACAGAAGGAAAGACAGAAACACAUGUGACAGAAAACAAAGGAGGCACUAAGAGAGGUUAGGAAAUGUGUGGGAGGAAGAAAACACUCAAGCUGAAGAGAAAAAUAACACAAUAAGUUCCCACAGUCAGCUUCCUUGAGCCAUUUUACUCUCUUAUAUACCUGCGGAGCCACACCGCCAGAGCCACUGCAGGAAUCAAGAAGAGCCAGUAGGACAGCUUUUUCUACUGUGCAUUCACUCAGGCAAAUAAGAACCAGCAGAUAAGGCUCCACAGACAGAGACUCAGUGAUGAGAGGAAGGCAGACAAAACCACAGACAUGAGUGAACACAAAUGGCUUGUGAUGCAACAGAUAAACCUGCCUCCCGACUGACAGCCAACCCUCUGUUAGUUCUCUAAUGAUUACUGCUUCUUGAAGGAAACCUUUACACAGACGUUCAAAGAGCCUGCAAUCCGGUAGUUAAAGGGGAAAACAGAGAAAAAUAUGAUGCAGCAUUGUUCUUCACAGGUCGAGGCAGUCUGACCUGAGCUCUGAGAAAGCAGGAGAGGGAAAAAAAGCAAACAUCAAAGAAGAACGAAAGAGGAAGGAAGAAGGAAAAGAAUACAAAAAGAUGUGAGAAACAAAGAGAACUCUGGCAGUGUGCGACAAGCAUCCCUGCCUCUCAUUUCAAGGUCACUGUGAUGGAAAUUAUUGUCCUGCAGCCAGAGGCCUCAGUCCUUUUCAAGCCUGUGGAGUCAGGCCAGGCGGCCCGAGAUCCACGUAUUGGUGGGGAAGCUGUGAGAAAGUGCUUGGUCUGCAAACAGAAGGAAGGAGCCCGAAGCAAGAUCAGAUAAUCACAGUGCUGCAGUUGCUCAGAGUUGGGACAGAAAACUGAAUUUCUUUUUUUUUGAGACAAAAAUGCAAAUUUUACUUAUCUGGACCUAAAAAAAAUUAAAACAAUAAUACUAAAUAAAA